This 2343-nucleotide long non-coding RNA is filed under the name Xyrichtys novacula (pearly razorfish). The record is from RNAcentral. Lineage: Eukaryota; Metazoa; Chordata; Actinopteri; Labriformes; Labridae.
AUUAGGUUAUGGGGCUAGGGAAGGUUUAAUGUUUUUGGCGUUAGGGUUAAAAUCACUGUCCAAAACCUUUUUAGGAACAUGUUUCAGACCUUAUGGAGUUAGUUACACAAAAAAAAAAAUUGUAAAAUUAAAAAGAAAUAUUUGGGGUGUUCGGGCUUCCUGAAGGUAAUACCCGGGUAUUAGGUUAUGGGGCUAGGGUAAGGUUUAAGGUUUUUGGCAUUAGGGUUAAAAUCACUGUCCAAAACCUUUUUAGGAACUCUUUUCCAACCUUUUGGAGUUAGUUAGACCAAAAAAAAAAGAAAAAUGAAAAAAAAAUAUUUGGGGUGUUCGGGCUUCCUGAAGGUAAUACCCGGGUAUUAGGUUAUGGGGCUAGGGUAAGGUUUAAGGUUUUUGGCGUAAGGGUUAAAAUCACUGUCCAAAACCUUUGUAGGAACUCUUUUCCAACCUUUUGGAGUUAGUUAGACCAAAAAAAAAAAAAUGAAAAAAAAAUGUUUGGGGUGUUCGGGCUUCCUGAAGGUAAUACCCGGGUAUUAGGUUAUGGGGCUUUGGUAAGGUUUAAGGUUUUUGGCGUUAGGGUUAAAAUCCCUGUCCAAAACCUUUGUAGGAACUCUUUUCCAACCUUUUGGUGUUAGUUAGACCUAAAAAAAAACGAAAAAUGAAAAAAAAAUGUUUGGGGUGUUCGGGCUUUCUGAAGGUUAUACCCAGGUAUUAGGUUAUGGGGCUAGGGAAAGGUUUAAUGUUUUUGGCGUUAGGGUUAAAAUCACUGUCCAAAACCUUUUUAGGAACUCUUUUCCAACCUUUUGGAGUUAGUUACACAAAAAAAAAAUUUGUAAAAUUAAAAAGAAAUAUUUGAGGUGUUCGGGCUUCCUGAAGGUAAUACCCAGGUAUUAGGUUAUGGGGCUUUGGUAAGGUUUAAGGUUUUUGGCAUUAGGGUUAAAAUCACUGUCCAAAACCUUUUAGGAACUCUUUUCCAACCUUUUGGAGUUAGUUAGUUAGACCUAAAAAAAACGAAAAAUGAAAAAAAAAUAUUUGGGGUGUUCGGGCUUCCUGAAGGUAAUACCCGGGUAUUAGGUUAUGGGGCUAGGGUAAGGUUUAAGGUUUUUGGCGUUAGGGUUAAAAUCACUGUCCAAAACCUUUGUAGGAACAUGUUUCAGACCUUAUGGAGUUAGUUACACAAAAAAAAAAAAUUGUAAAAUUAAAAAAAAAAUAUUUGGGGUGUUCGGGCUUCCUGAAGGUAAUACCCGGGUAUUAGGUUAUGGGGCUUUGGUAAGGUUUAAGGUUUUUGGCAUUAGGGUUAAAAUAACUGUCCAAAACCUUUUUAGGAACUCUUUUCCAACCUUUUGGAGUUAGUUAGUUAGACCUAAAAAAAAAGAAAAAUGAAAAAAAAAUGUUUGGGGUGUUGGGGCUUCCUGAAGGUAAUUAAGUUAUGGGGCUUUGGUAAGGUUUAAGGUUUUUGGCAUUAGGGUUAAAAUCACUGUCCAAAACCUUUGUAGGAACUCUUUUCCAACCUUUUGGAGUUAGUUAGACCAAAAAAAAAAGAAAAAUGAAAAAAAAAUAUUUGGGGUGUUCGGGCUUCCUGAAGGUAAUACCCGGGUAUUAGGUUAUGGGGCUAGGGUAAGGUUUAAGGUUUUUGGCAUUAGGGUUAAAAUCACUGUCCAAAACCUUUGUAGGAACUCUUUCCCAACCUUUUGGAGUUGGUUCCACCAAAAAAAAAAAUUGUAAAAUGAAAAAGAAAUAUUUGGGGUGUUCGGGCUUCCUGAAGGUAAUACCCGGGUAUUAGGUUAUGGGGCUAGGGAAAGGUUUAAGGUUUUUGGCAAUAGGGUUAAAAUCCCUGUCCAAAACCUUUGUAGGAACAUGUUUCAGACCUUUUGAGUUGGUUAUACCAAAAAAAAAAAAUGUAAAAUGAAAAAAAAAGAAUUGGGGUGUUUUGGCCUCCUGAAGGUAAUACCCGUGUAUUAGGUUAUGGGGCUAGGGAAAGGUUUAAUGUUUUUGGCGUUAGGGUUAAAAUCACUGUCCAAAACCUUUUUAGGAACAUGUUUAAGACCUUAUGGAGUUAGUUACACCAAAAAAAAAAUUGUAAAAUGAAAAAGAAAUAUUUGGGGUGUUCGGGCUUCCUGAAGGUAAUACCCGGGUAUUAGGUUAUGGGGCUUUGGUAAGGUUUAAGGUUUUUGGCGUUAGGGUUAAAAUCACUGUCCAAAACCUUUGUAGGAACUCUUUUCCAACCUUUUGGAGUUAGUUAGACCAAAAAAAAAAUGAAAAAUGAAAAAAAAAAUAUUUGGGGUUUUCGGGCUUCCUGAAGGUAAUACCCGGGUAUUAGGUUAUGGGGCUAGGGUAAGGUUUAAG